RNA transcript from Arabidopsis thaliana (thale cress), 607 nucleotides. RefSeq lists it as uncharacterized. The record is from RefSeq. The transcript has a single exon. Lineage: Eukaryota; Viridiplantae; Streptophyta; Magnoliopsida; Brassicales; Brassicaceae.
AAAAAAAAAAAAAAAAUAGAAAGGAAGGGACUGAGGAGAGAAGGGCUCCAAAAACCCUGAUGAGGGACAAUCUCAACACCAAUUAUACACGUGUAGGUUUUUUAGUAGUCAAACAAUAUUAAAAAAUUUUAAAAUAUAAUUGUAAAACUAAAAUAAGAGAAAAUCCCGUUUUGAUAUUUUCAAUUGGAUUAGGGAUGUUCAAGCUUCGAAGAAACGAUUUCAGGAGUGCAGAUUCACAUGGGUCAAUCGAAAACAGAACAAACCGACGGAUAUUCUUGCCAAGGGUCGCUUACUCCAGAAUGAACAAUUUAAAUUUUACUCUUACGUUCCGAUUGUAAUUUCCUCAGCCUUACAGCUGGACAACUCUGGUUCAUAAUAUCAAUGGAAAAGAAGAUGCUAAAACAAAAUAAAAAGUUAAAAUAUCACCCUGUAAAGUCACAAAAGUUUAAAAUAACUUAAAAAUUAAAAAUCUAUCUAGCUAGAAGCUAUAUUAUAUCUUAUAUGUAAAAUAGAACAUAUUUUAGUAAAGGUUUUAAUUUUAGUUUUCAGAAGGAAAUCCAAUUUUUUAAAAUUAUAUGUUUAGUGUCACUAAACAUAUAAAGACACU